UGACUUGAUCCCAAGUGAUUGCUAUAGAUCGCUUCGUGGACUUCUCGAAGGGCAUAGUCAGCUUCAGAGGAUCGUAAACAUUAAAGUAGAGAUUGAGAAUAUGAUCUUUUAUAUAAUUAAUCACCCUGAAGAACAUACCAUGGAGCUUGUCUUUUGAUUCUUCUUGCUUCAACAGGGUCAUUUGGCAAAAUUUCUUUAGUCAUAUACUCAACUAGUCGAUCAAUCCAGCUCGGUUGGAGGCUGAUCUGC
Molecule: long non-coding RNA, 249 nt
Filed under: Elaeis guineensis (African oil palm)
Lineage: Eukaryota; Viridiplantae; Streptophyta; Magnoliopsida; Arecales; Arecaceae
Description: long non-coding RNA (EGUI_LNC076344)
Source: RNAcentral